UACGUAGGGUGCAAGCGUUGUCCGGAAUUAUUGGGCGUAAAGAGCUCGUAGGCGGUCUGUCGCGUCGGAUGUGAAAACCCAGGGCUCAACCCUGGGCCUGCAUUCGAUACGGGCAGACUAGAGUUCGGUAGGGGAGACUGGAAUUCCUGGUGUAGCGGUGAAAUGCGCAGAUAUCAGGAGGAACACCAGCGGCGAAGGCGGCGCUCUGGGCCGGUACUGACGCUGAGGAGCGAAAGCGUGGGUAGCAAACAGG
RNAcentral lists this ribosomal RNA (253 nucleotides) under uncultured bacterium. Its description in RNAcentral is "partial 16S ribosomal RNA". It matches the Rfam family "Bacterial small subunit ribosomal RNA", at positions 524 to 776 of the family's 1533-position model. The record is from RNAcentral.